Non-coding RNA from Ictidomys tridecemlineatus (thirteen-lined ground squirrel), 811 nucleotides. Lineage: Eukaryota; Metazoa; Chordata; Mammalia; Rodentia; Sciuridae. The record is from RefSeq and is a predicted model, not a curated record.
AAUUCACAGAUGCUGAUCUUCAGGCCUGAUGCAGAGGAAGGAAAACACAAGGGAGACUCUAAUCCCUAGAACUCAGGACCUGACUUGCAAAGCAUCUGAAUAUAGCCCCUCAUAAGUGACAAUGAGCUGAAAUUGGAAAUUAAGGGAGAUGUUUCUCAUAGCCACUCACACGUACAACACAUGUGUAAUAUGCAACAGAUGCUGAAAUAAGGGGAAACGUGAAAGACAGGCCGUGCUCAUCUUCCCACUGAGCAAAAGGAAAGGCAAUUUUCCUCAGCUCUUAAAGAAGAAAAAUGCAGACCACUCAAAGGCUGCCUUCAGCUCCGAGCAGGAGGAAUCACUUUCCUGAGCACUUUCGUGUGUGGCCACAAUUGCCCUUGUCACCUCAUUCCCCUCUGGGAUUGGGCUUGAUCUUUUAACAUUUCUUUGUCACCAUGAGCUGGAAAAUACAGAUUUAAACAUUGUUGGAAAUGAAGGAACCUGAGAUGCUUUGAACAGCAGGGUAAUGAAACAGCUGUUGAGUUGGAGAGAGGAAGCCUGAUCGUAUCAGAGUGGAUGCCAUCAAAGGAGUUAUGAGCUUACAUGACAGAAAAUUACGUGUACUUGAAAUAUGCCAUUACAAAAUGCCAGCCUGACAUUAAGCUGCUUUACGGAGGUAUCUUGUCCUUAAAUAGCCUGGUGAUUAUCCAUGUCCCUGCAGUGCUGCUUUUCUCCCUGAUUUUGUAAUACCCUCGUGUGUCUUUAAUCACUGCAAAGAGUGUCAUCAACUUGAAAUCAUUCUUCAAAGGAAAUUAAUUUUAAUUUCCAUUGA